GCUGGGCAUGGUGGUGCAUGCCUGUAAUCCCAGCUACUUGGGAGGCUGAGGCAGAAGAAUCGCUUGAACCUGGGAGACAGAAGUUGCAGUGAGCUGAGAUGGCGUCACUGCCCUCCAGCCUGGGUGACAGAGUGAGACUUUGUCUCAA
This 148-nucleotide non-coding RNA is filed under the name Homo sapiens (human). The record is from Rfam by way of RNAcentral. Lineage: Eukaryota; Metazoa; Chordata; Mammalia; Primates; Hominidae.